UGUGUGUGUGGGGGGGGGUUAUGUACAGGCACACAUGGUUUCUUAAGGCAAAGUCCUAAAGGCAGAGUUUUCUUUCAGUGUCUGCAGCUCGUUGGAAAACACUUCAACCUGCAACGCCCACUACUCAAUUCUGGUGUUCAGUAAAGCAGCAGGCAUGUAUUUUAUUAGCAAACCAGAAAGAAGGCAUGCAGCAUUCUGCAGAUGAAGAUAAAGAUGGAGGUUGCAGCAACACACCCAGGCUGAAAAUAACCACAGGAUACUACAGAUUUGAUCAGCUACUUCUUCCUUGCAGUUAACUGUUGAACAAAGUACUAUACAACAGCA
Molecule: long non-coding RNA, 324 nt
Organism: Micropterus dolomieu (smallmouth bass)
Lineage: Eukaryota; Metazoa; Chordata; Actinopteri; Centrarchiformes; Centrarchidae
Exons: 3
Source: RefSeq, a predicted model, not a curated record